GGGCUUCUGUGGGGGGCAGUGAUGAGAUUAGCUUUGGGACCCCGGCUUUUUGCCCGCAAGAGGAAGGGGACAUGGGCUAGUAUCGGCGUUGGGACAGGCGGGGGUAGUGGAGGGAGAAGAAGCAGGUGGAGCCACUGGCCGUGCUAGGGGUACUUCUGAUGCACCAGAAGGCAACCCCGCCAGAGACUUUAGUUCUGAGAAUUGGUAACAGAAAGCAAAUAGGAGUGACUGCAGCCGAGCGUUGGCGUUUGAAGGAAGAGCAUGAGGGAAAAACGCUACCUGCUGCGUUUCUAACAUCUCCCCAGAUCUGCCCUCAACCACCAAUUCCCCAACCUUGGGUCAGCCAAACUACCCACUCCUCUCCGCCCCGUACCCUUGUCAAGAAAUCUGCUGUGUAGGAAUACUGCCUAUUUGUGUUUAACUCCACGUGGGCUCCUUGGCUCCGUCCAGCUCAGUUCCGCUCUUUUACUAAGAUGCUCGUUGUAAUGCCCUGAACAUUACGUUCUUCCCAAGGUGUUCUAGCUAACCCAGUAGUAGAAUGUCUUCAUAUUUUCUUCCUUCUACUGGGGAAAGAGUACAUCAUUAUUCUUUACAAGGACAAUCCUAAAACUGCUCUUGAUCACAUUGCUUUCCAACUUGUGGAAUUCUUCAUCACAUUCAUCUACUCGGUGCCAUCAUUCAUCUUACUAAAACAUCUUUUUGGAUUGUGUCAUUUUUCUACUCAAACACCUCCAGUGCUGCAAGCUAUAUGUUGACCACUCAACGGAUUCUAAGUUCUUGGUAGGGGCAUUCACUGUCUGGCAGUUUGGCUCUAAUCCGAGCUGUAUUUUCCAGAACUGUACUACAAAACUUUUUCUCCUACUGCUCUUGUAUCUGGGCUGUUCAAUUUCCCCUAACACAUUGUAUAUUUUGUUUGUAUGUACUUACGAUAUGUCUCUACCUUAUUCUAUGUCUUGAAUCGUUUUGAGGACUUAAAUGGCCACUUCUUGUAUUACGCUUUCUCUGAUUAUCAUAUCAUAGGUAAAAGUGAUCCCUUUUUUCUUCCUUUUUACUCUUACAGCUCUUAUUUUGUAGUAGUUGUUUCAUUUAUUCAUUUAUUCAGUCAGUAUUGAUUGCAUGCUUACUCUGUCCUUGACACUGUUUUAAAUGUGAGAUAAUCAGUGAAUUGGGCGGACAAGGCACUUGCUCCCAUAGAGCUAAGAUUCUAGUUGGGAGAGAUAUACCGUAAAUAAUAAAAUUAUUAGAUAGAAAUACUGUGCAGAAAGUUGAGUAGGGUUUGGGGGAAGAGAGUGUCUUGCUGGUUCCUUUACAUUAUUAGUCAGGGACGACCUCUAUGAGAAUGUGAUUGAGGAAUGACUAAUUUAAUCAGGAAGGGUUAACACAAAGGAAUUGAAGAAGGCCAGUGUAGUUGGAGUGUAGUGGGUAAUGGGGAAAGGGUACAAGAUAAUUUUAGAGAAUAGAGUCCAGAAUCCUAGAAGUCUUUGGAAGCCAGGGCAUUGUUAUUUAAGAAUGGAAGAGGAUACAGAUUUUAGAGUCAGGUUUAGUUCUUUGUGUUUCAUUACUGAUCAUGUUGGAUUUCAUGGCACUAUAAAAAGCUCACCAAGUGACUUUGUUGUUAUAGAGAUCGAUGAACAGGGACAGUUAGUUAAUAAGGCCACUAAUGAAUGGAUUAGUAAAGUACUACCUGAGCCAAAUAAUUUUGCCAAAAAAACAAAACUUGAUUUUCAGAAUUUAUCCUUUAAAGAGGGAAGCAACCAAGAAGUCAAUAUUGUCACUGGGUGCUCUGAUGAUGACCAAAAUCAUCAGUCUGCUUCAGAAAAGGAAGAUACUAUCAAUGAUGGAACUUCCAAAGGUGAAGAAAAAGUUGAUGUUUUAAGCAACUUGUUAGAUGAAAAAACUAACGAAUUACUGAAUCACUUUGCCUGUGAUAUAAAAGAGAAGUGGAAUUCUAAAACUGAGCUAAUUGGAUCAUCUCCUGAAUUCUCAUUAGGCAGAAUCCUUGACAAAAACCAGAGGGCUAUUUUGCAUAGUGCUGUUAGGCAGAAAUUCCCCUUUUUAAUAACCGUUGGUAAAAACAGUGAGAUUGUUGUAAAACCAAAUCUUGAGUUUAAGGAACUCUGUCACUUGGUAUCUGAAGAAGAAGCAUUUGACUUUUUUAAAUAUUUGGAUGCAAAGAAAGAAAAUUCAAAAUUUACCUUUAAACCUGACACAAACAAAGACCACAGAAAAGCUGUCCACCAUUUUGUCAACAAAAAGUUUGGAAACCUUGUGGAAACCAAAUCUUUCCCUGAACUCAGUUACAAUGCUGGUAAUCCAAAUGUAGCGAUAACAGUAAGAUUUCGGGAAAAAACACACAAACACAGGAAAAGGUCUCUUUUUGAAUGCCGGGGUCAAAAAGUUAUAUACACAGCUUUUACCCUACGAAAAGAAAAUCUGGAAAUGUUUGAAGCACUUGGUUUUUUAGCUAUCAAACUUGGUGUGAUUCCUUCAGAUUUUAGUUAUGCAGGCCUAAAAGACAAGAAAGCCAUCACCUAUCAAGCAAUGGUUGUUAGAAAAGUGACUCCAGAGAGGUUGAAAAAUAUUGAAAAAGAAAUCGAAAAGAAAAGAAUGAAUGUGUUUAAUAUUCGAUCUGUAGAUGAUUCCCUUAGACUCGGUCAGCUCAAGGGAAAUCACUUUGAUAUUACCAUCAGAAAUUUAAGAAACCAAAUAAAUGAUUCUUCAAACCUGAGAGAGAGAAUUUUGGAGGCAAUAGAAAAUGUUAAGAAUAAAGGGUUUGUAAAUUACUACGGACCGCAGAGAUUUGGGAUGGGAAGGAAAGUUCACACCGACCAGAUUGGAUUGGCUUUGCUGAAGAGUGAAAUGGUGGAGGCUGUAAAAUUAUUUCUUACACCAGAAGAUUUGGAUGAUCCUGUAAAUAGAGCAAAGAAAUAUUUUCUUCAAACUGAGGAUGCUAAAGGCACACUUUCACUGAUGCCUGAAUUCAAAGUUCGCGAGAGAGCUCUGCUGGAGUCGUUGCACCGCUUUGGCAUGACGGAGGAGGGAUGUAUCCAGGCAUGGUUUUCUUUUCCCCAUUCAAUGCGCAUAUUCUACGUUCAUGCGUAUAGCAGCAAAAUUUGGAAUGAGGCAGUAUCUUACAGACUUGCAACCUAUGGAUCAAGAGUAGUAGAGGGUGAUCUGGUCUGUUUGGAUGAAGAUGUUGAUGAUGAACAUUUCACAAAUAGUAAAGUUCAUCUAGUAACGGAAGAAGAGGAAUCAGCUAACACAUAUGCAAUACAUCAGGUGGUUCUUCCAAUGCUUGGAUACAAUAUUCAGUACCCAAAGAAUAAAGUUGGGCAGUGGUACCAGGAAAUACUUAGCAGAGAUGGACUACAGACAUUGUAAGGUCUUGAAUAUAUUUUGGACCAAAUGAUGACCAGUCACCUAGGUUUUUGCAGUUUUCCUGGCCAUUCCAGGCCUUCAGAAGGAUAAUCUUUGGAUUAGUUUUAAUUUUCAAGGUUGUUUUUGAAACUGAGCCUCAGGAUUACUAAGAAUCCAGAGACCCUUAAGCCAUGAACUUGGUUUGAAAUUAAAUGACGGUGACUCCAGUCAUGUCAUAGAAGCCAAAACAAAUGUUCUUUUGAAGUCACCUUAUCCCAGGUUUUGAGUAAAUGCUCAAAGACAGUGAACAUCACAGAAGAAAGCAAGGCAUCAUGAAUGAGGGCAUAGAAGACAUGUAAGCCUUUGUUAAAUAUGUUUGUAAAUAUUUCAUGUUUUUAUGCUAUUUUGUUACAGAAACAAAAGACAGUAUAAAUAGACAUGCAGGACUUCAGAAUUCUAGACAUGGAUCUCAUGUUUAUCCUUUUUGAAGAAGUAAGAGACAAGCUUGAAAAUGUGCAGGGAACUAGAAGCAAAACACAAUUUAGCGUAUUUGAAAAAGAACCAACAGACUUUCUAGAAGUGAAAACUAUAAUAAUCAAAACUUAAAACUCAUUGUAUGAGUUCAGUAACAUUACACAAAAUUGAAAAGCAAACUGGUAAACUAAAAAGUAGUUCAGAAGGAACGCAGAAUGGAGCAAAAAUGAGAUUUUAAAAAAUACAGAGAUAUGGAGGACAGAGAGAAACUUUAAAAUACAUUUAAUUGGAAUCUGAAAGAAAGGAGAAAGAAUAAGGUAGAGGCAACAUUUGAAUAGGUAAUGGCUGAGAAUUUUCUGAAACUAGUAGGAUACCAAAAUAUGGGUUUAAGAAGUCCAGUGAAUCCCAAGCAGUCUAAGUAAAGAGAAAGCCAUCAAUAAUAAAAAGAAUCUUAAAAGCAGCCAGGGAAAGAUUAUUCUCAAGGAAUGAAUAAAGUGAUUGCUGACUUUCCAGAGCAAUGAUGAAAUAUAUUAAAAUAAUGAGAAAGUUUGCAACUGAGAACUGACUCACUAGAAGAGAUUCCAACCCCCCCCCAAAUAACCCCCCCAAAACAGCAAAAAACACUUCAGAGAGAGGGUAAAGGAUCCAAAAUCAAAAGCCUAAAAUGGAGGAAUGAAUGAUGAACAAGAAAAGUGGUAAAUAUGUGGUUAAAAUAUAAACAAAUGAUUGACUUUGUAAAUUGAUAAUGUCUCUAAUAUCUUCUGGGUUACAAAAGAAUAAUAAAACAGAGCCUGGGAGGGAACCGAAAGGAGUUAAUGAUCUAAGGUGGUUGUGUUAUCUGUAAAAAAGGGUAAAUAUAUUGAUCAACUUUAGUCUUCUGUAAAUUAGAAUUGUGUGGUAUAGUAUCUAUAAUAGUCACUAAAAUAAUAAAAACAGCUGUAACAUCCAAACUAAGUACAGGAUGAUUGCUCUAGUGUGUGUCCUACAAAUUAGAGCUUCAUGAUUAGUUUGAUAUACUUGAUAAGAGAAAUUUGAUGAAAAUACAAGAAUCAUUUACAUUAUCAUGAAAAAGAUUUAACAUUGAUUUUUUAAAGAAAGGAAGAGCUUCAAGAUAAUUUCAAGUGUUGUAAACUUUGAAUAAUUGUAAAAAAAUUCAAAAUGUACUAUUUUUUAGACACUGUCACAAGCACUAUUUUUUUAAUCAUAAAUUUUGACCAGGAAGUGUGUAUAGCUGUUUCACACACAAAAUCCAUUACUGAAACACUACAGUCAGAGAAACAAGCUCAAAUUUCUCUUUUUUUUUUUUUUAAAGAUUUUAUUUAUUUAUUUGAGACAGAGAGAAUGAGAGAGAGAGAGCACAUGAGAGGGGGGAGGGUCAGAGGCAGAAGCAGGCUCCCCGCCAAGCAGGGAGCCCGAUGCGGGACUCAAUCCAGGGACUCCAGGAUCAGGACCUGAGCCGAAGGCAGUCACUUAACCAACUGAGCCACCCAGGCGCCCAACAAGCUCAAAUUUCUCAUUAAAAUUUUGAAAAUACUUUAUUUUGAAACUGUAUAUUAACUCAACAGUAUCUUCUCUAGUAGUUGUAUUUCUUUCAUUUUCUGAUCGUAUUUAUAUUUAUAUAAAGAAAGGUAAUUUUUUUUUUCACUAACUCAUACUCCUGAAUUCUCUCAGUCUAUUUUAGUGUGAUACAGAUACCAUUUUCUACAUGUGAGGGGAAAAGUUUGGGGAACACUACAUUAUAUAGAGCCAGAUGGAGUUGGGGAAGAGGAUGAAGAGAAAAUUCCUCAUUAUCUUUAAUCAUCCUGCAUUUUAAGGCUACAUUAAAAAAAGAAAAAAUAUUAGAAAAUAUUAAUAUCUAUAAAUAUGAAUACUCUUAUUUAUUUCCUUUUCCUUUACCUUUCCUUUUCUCUCCUUUUGGUUCAUGCCCCUGUGCUCUCAGUCUGUAUUUGACAACUGAUUUGAUCAGUUCCAUAGCCACAAAAAGUCAUAAGUCGUUGGUUUCAUAAGAUACUUCUGUGACCUUUGUACUGAUGAUUGCUUAGUGUUCCUAAAAGAAAACUCAGAAGGAGCCAGCCUUCAACUUCAGUGCCUACUCUAAUUUCACAGUGAAAUAUAUCUUUGUACUUACAACCCCCUCACAGCUUAUCCAACUCUACUAGGUAUUCUUCUUCAUGUCCUAAUGCUCUAAGAAAAGCUGGGGGCUAUCCUACAAUUUUCUGUUUCUGGAGUGUUAGAAUGCUUGUUUUAUCAUGCAUUCACUUUCUAGAUGAGAAAUCAAAGUAUUAUCAUUAGCUGAAUUGCUCUAGUAAUUGCAGUUGAAUAAAAUUUCUCUUUACAGGAGCUAGUGGGAAAUAUUCUACAUGUAUUUAAUUAGACAAAUUAGAGAACUUAACAUUUUAAGUCAUUAGUUACUGGUUUUACAGUUGGGUUUAAUGUCAUCCAAAAGAGUAGACAGAACAAUAAGUCUUUAUAAGAUAGGAGCUAAACUUAGGUCUCUGCCAAAAUACCUUCAGGUCACUUAUAAUAUGAAUGCAGUUGUGCAAGUGGGCUUUUUCCUCCUUGUCCUGGAAAUCAUAUAAAAGCAAUAGGGAAAUUAACAUUUUUUAAAAAAAUCCUGCAAAGACUAUAAUAAGCAAACUUAAAGUAUGUAAGAGCUACCAAGGGCAGCUGAGAUCUGGACAAAAGUUGCAUGGCAAGAAGUGAAAAAAAGUAGCAGAUGGGUCCAAUAAUAGCAGAUCUCAAAAGCACAUGCAUUAAAGAAAAUAAUCUCUCUCUGAGGAUAAAGGUCCUGCCCUAAAGAGAAAAAGCUAUAUCUCUUGUUUGGAAGGGUCUGAGAAAUUGAGUAAGCAAAGUGGUAGCAAAAAACUGCCGAACCUGGUUUGGGGCUAAACAAAGCAUUGCAAACAAUGAUGUAUUUAUAGAAAGCAGAAGGGAGAAUCUCCAUCAAAUAACUGGUCCAAGAAAAUUCAGCUCUUUCAAUAGUGAGUAAUAAAGAAACUGGGCACAACCUCAAUACAAAGAUACUGUAAGAUAAACGUGGAAGAGAGGCACAAAAUUUAGCAACAGAUCACCAAAAGGUGGCCAUAUAGAAGAUAAAAAUUAUGGGACGCCUGGAUGGCUGAGUUUAUUAAGCGUCCAACCCCUGAUUUCAGCCUAGGUCUUGAUCUCAGGGUCAUGAGUUCAAGCCCUGCAUUGGGCUCUGUGCUGGGCAUGGAGCCUACUUAAAAAAAAAAAGAAAAAAAUUGUGACACACACUUUGCUUUGGAGAAGCAAUCAUUUCUAUGAAGGAAGUCUACAAAAAAAGAAAUGGAAGGAGAAAGAAAACAGUAGACAAAAAGAGGAGAGGAAAUCUGAGAUAGCAGAUUUCAAGAAAGAUGCAGAAGACAAAAGCAAUACUGUCAGAGAAAUAAAGAUGAAAUUGAAACAAGCACCAAAAAAAAAGUAGAUGGUGAGAAAAAUACAAUAAGGGACAGGAAAGAUAAGAAGAAUAAAAUUGAACUCUUCCAAAUAUAUGAAGAUUUAAGCACCUACAUGCACACAUGUAAGGAAAAUAAUAAAACACAAUGUUAAUGGUUAAGAUGUAAAAAGAUAACAAAAGACCUUCAUGUUUAUGGUACAAGAAAAUCUGAGACAAAAUAAAAAUUUACUUUUCUGUGGAAUUACAGAAGAGUCUUGGAUGCCUGGAAGGCUUGACGGACUGAGUACUAGGAUGAAUGAAUUCUUCCUAGCUAAGCAGAGAGCCAUAUGAGCUUCCAUAGUGGAGGGUGGAUAAACUCAACCUAACUAAAGCUGUAGGCCAGCUUCAGAUCAACUCAAAACCUAGGAAGAAUCCAAAUAAACAGUCUUUUUUUUUUUUUUCCCAAUAGCCAAAAAAGGAAAGAACUUACACUGUUUGGGAAAUAAAUAAAACAACACUGGUCCUUUAUACUUAAUGUUGGAAAUAGAAUUUUUAAAAUAAGACAUUAGAUGAAGCAAGAAAGUGUGAUCCAUACUGAAGAGAAAAUGGUGAAAUAUUAAACAGUUGCUCCGAGGAUCAGAAAAAAGGAAAUGAUAUCUGCACUCACCACUUUUUUUAUGUACUAGAGGUCCUCACCAGGUCCAGCAAUAAAGCAAAGAAAAGAAAUUAAAGGCAUCAAGUUUGGAAAGGAAAAAAAUUAUUUUUUACCUUUGGAAGACAAUCUGAUAGUGUAAGUAGAAAAUACAAAGUGAUCUACCAAGAGACCAAAACAAACAGCUAGAACUUAUUAGUGGUUUUAUCUGGUUCACAGACUAUAUGGUCAAUGUAUAAAAAUUAAAUUUGUUUCUAUGCAAUAGCAAUGAAUAAUUGAACAAUGAAAAUUCUUAAACAAUACUAUUUACAAUAGCAUAAAAACAUGAAAUAUUUACAAACAUAUUUAACAAAGCCUUACAUGUCUUCUAUGCCAUUAACAAUGAAACAUUUCUGAAAGAAAAAAAAAAACAUAAGAAGAUGGAGAGAGACAUGAUGUUCAUUGGCUGGAAGACAAUAUUGUUAAGAUACCAGCUCACCUCAAAUUAGUAUGUAGAUUAAGUUAAAUGCCAAUCAAAACACAGCCAGCUGUUUGUGUGAAAAAUAGUACAAAUACUUUGGAAAACUGACAGUUUCUCAUAAAUUUAAACAUACCCUACUGUAUGACUCAGCAAUCCCACUUCUACGUAUAUAUCAAAGAUUGAUGAAAAUAUGUCAACAAAAAUUACAAAAUGUUACACACAAACAUUCACAGUGACUUUGUUUAUAAUAGCCAACAAUUGGAAACAACCCAAAUGUCUAUAAAAGAAAAGUGGAUAAAGAAAUGGUGGUAUAUUCAUACAAUGGAAUAAAAACUUUAAGAUACAUGCAACAACAUGUGUACAUAUCAAAAACAUUGUAUUGCGUGAGAGAAGCCAGAAACAAAAGAGAAUGUGCUGUGAUUCCAUUUAUAUGAAGUUCAAAGCAGGCAAAAAUAAACUAUAGUAAUAAACAUCAGGACAGCGGUUGCCUCAGUGUGUGUGGGGAAAGUGGGUAGCAGGGGUCAGAAGUAAGGGGAGUUGGAUCCAAGGGCUUGAGGGAAAUUUUCUAUGUGAAGGAAAUAUUCUGUAUCUUGUUUGGGAUGGGGUAAAUGGAUUUGUAAAUUUGUCAAAACUUGUUAGACUGUGUACACUUAAGAUCUAUACAUUUCACUGCAUAUGGAUUACACUUGAAUAAAAUAUUAUAGAAUCUUUGUGGCAGCCAUGGCGCUCUUUCACUCAGAUACUCAUUCAAGAGUGACCCUGCCUUGAGGUAUGCAGUUAACCUAUAGCCUCACCUUUAGGAUGUGCUACAGCUUUGGGACUAAGGACAUGUUCUCUUCUGCAACUCCAGCCAGUGACUUAGCAUGGCCUGAGUAUUAGAGCCUGUCUAGUGAGAUACUCUCUUAAUGGGCAGUUUUGUCUAGAGCCCCCCCUUAGGACUAGCCACAAUGUUUUCAGAGCUGCAUUAUAGUCUGAGGCUCUUCCUAUCCAACUGUCCUUGCUUUCCCCUCUUUCUCAAGUUUCAGACUUGUUUCACGGUCUGAAGGGUUUUUUUGACCUCCUUCUGUUCCCUCUCACCUUUUUCUUUCACAGGCAUUAUGCUUAGUAAAUCUCUUCCAUGUCUAACUCCAUCUUGGCUUUUGACACAAACUGUCAAUUUAAAAAAAAUCUGUGAUAGAUAUGAGACUAAAUAUAUGUCAUAUCAUAAUUGUAUUGACAUAAUCCCAGAAAAGUUUUUUUUUUUUCACAAAGUAAAUCACAUUUAUGCCUUUAUGCUGGAUGCAACAGGCUCACCUAAAACACAUAUAUUUAAUGGUUGAAUAUAGAAUUGUCAACAAAGGCAAAUGUAAACAGAAAGCAGAAGUCAUGAUCAGAUUAGGCAGAAUUCAAGCCAAAACACAUUGAAGAAAG
Mirounga angustirostris (Northern elephant seal) is the source of this 9750-nucleotide RNA transcript. It is a transcript of the gene named pseudouridine synthase 7 like, with no coding region annotated. NCBI's taxonomy places the organism in Eukaryota, Metazoa, Chordata, Mammalia, Carnivora, Phocidae. The transcript has 11 exons. The record is from RefSeq and is a predicted model, not a curated record.